GUCGUCAGCUCGUGUCGUGAGAUGUUGGGUUAAGUCCGCAACGAGCGCAACCCUUUUCCUUAUUUGCCAGCGGGUAAUGCCGGGAACUUUAAGGAUACUGCCAGUGACAAACUGGAGGAAGGCGGGGACGACGUCAAGUCAUCAUGGCCCUUACGGCCAGGGCUACACACGUGCUACAAUGGUCGGUACAAAGGGUUGCUACCUCGCGAGAGGAUGCUAAUCUCAAAAAGCCGAUCGUAGUCCGGAUCGCAGUCUGCAACUCGACUGCGUGAAGUCGGAAUCGCUAGUAAUCGCGGAUCAGAAUGCCGCGGUGAAUACGUUCCCGGGCCUUGUACACACCGCCCGUCACACCAUGGGAGUUUGUUGCACCAGAAGUAGGUAGUCUAACCGCAAGGAGGACGCUUACCACGGUGUGGCCGAUGACUGGGGUGAAGUCGUAACAAGGUAAGCGUAGAUGA
RNAcentral lists this ribosomal RNA (458 nucleotides) under uncultured bacterium. RNAcentral describes it as "bacterial SSU rRNA". It matches the Rfam family "Bacterial small subunit ribosomal RNA", at positions 1051 to 1509 of the family's 1533-position model. The record is from RNAcentral.